RNAcentral lists this ribosomal RNA (223 nucleotides) under Klebsiella quasipneumoniae subsp. similipneumoniae. Its description in RNAcentral is "partial 16S ribosomal RNA". It matches the Rfam family "Bacterial small subunit ribosomal RNA", at positions 1011 to 1234 of the family's 1533-position model. The record is from RNAcentral. RNAcentral also lists the same sequence under 1 other name. Lineage: Bacteria; Pseudomonadati; Pseudomonadota; Gammaproteobacteria; Enterobacterales; Enterobacteriaceae.
UUGGUGCCUUCGGGAACUGUGAGACAGGUGCUGCAUGGCUGUCGUCAGCUCGUGUUGUGAAAUGUUGGGUUAAGUCCCGCAACGAGCGCAACCCUUAUCCUUUGUUGCCAGCGGUUAGGCCGGGAACUCAAAGGAGACUGCCAGUGAUAAACUGGAGGAAGGUGGGGAUGACGUCAAGUCAUCAUGGCCCUUACGACCAGGGCUACACACGUGCUACAAUGGC